This 797-nucleotide long non-coding RNA is filed under the name Lathyrus oleraceus (garden pea). Its description in RNAcentral is "Pisum sativum (pea) long non-coding RNA (PSAT_LNC032948)". Lineage: Eukaryota; Viridiplantae; Streptophyta; Magnoliopsida; Fabales; Fabaceae. The record is from RNAcentral.
UUUCACAUGUUUUAAUGACAUUAAAUAAAAGAAUAUUAAAGUGAGAAGAAGGAAAAAAUAAUGUUGCAUUGAAACUGAUUAAUGACAAUAAAUAUAUAAUUAACAAAUCCUUCUCUCCCUCCUUCCAAAUAAACUCGGUUGUCUCUCUCUCUCUUAUACCAAGCACGCAUUCUUUCUCUCUCUCUUGCCAAGCAUGAAAAAAACAAAAAAAAAUCUAGAUCCUCAUUAUUCAGAUCUCAAAUCGUCCAUGCAACAAAGAGAUAUAUCUCAACCAAACUCCAUCAAAUGAAACAUACCUCAGAAUCCAUGAACACGCACAAACAAGCAUAUGCAAAUCAAUACUCAUAUCCUAUUUUGAACCCUGACACCCCAUUUUCAAUACUUUGUCUGUGUUUACAAACUACAAAUGUGAGAGAACAUCAAACCAACGAGAGUAUUGAGAGAGAAAAAUAUAUCAAGCUAAAAAGAUGCUACCAAGAUGUAGGUUAAAGAGUUUCGGGGUCUCUAGGUACUUGCUGCUCUCUCUAUCUCCCUUUCUUCUCUAGGCUAUACUCCUUCUCCUUUUGUUAUCCUCUUUUCUGUAAUAUGUUUGUGAGUGCAAUUAGAAAUUUUGGUUUAUAGUUUUGUGAAGGUGGGGUGAAAUUUAUGCAGCAUUUUGUUAUGAUUUCCUUUUCUUUGUAUGUAAUGUGAAGCUCUAUUUAUAGAGUGAAGAGAGAGUCUUGAAAUCAUGUGAAGAAUUCCUUCACACGUGUGAGCAUUUGCAAUUUGGACAAGGAUUGAGAAAAUAUUGUUAAGGA